UGAACCAUCUUUUCAGAUGAUCUGGUAGCU
This 30-nucleotide non-coding RNA is filed under the name Mus musculus (house mouse). Lineage: Eukaryota; Metazoa; Chordata; Mammalia; Rodentia; Muridae. The record is from RNAcentral.